UCACUUGCCCUCUGACCACCAGUAGUGAUAGGGCUUGCUUUACUCAAGGAGGAAGUCCUUAACAACUCGAUCUACCCAGGCAAACACAACAAUCAUUCAGCUUUUUGUUUCAUUUUUUCCUUAACCUAUCACCAUGAAACAAAAUACACACAUAUAGAAAUGAGCAAAGAGCUUUAAAUACUAGCUGCCCAAGAGAUGCUUAGCCUCCUGUUCCAGCCACUGGAGUUGAGGGGUGGAGGCACGUGAUGUCACGGAAAGGGAAUGCUCGCUAGUCUUCAAGCAGUCCCCUAAGGGAUCUUUGAUCUCAGGCUGAAUGGAGGAAGAAGAGCUUUUCUAGUUGACGCCUGUCACAGAGAUCUGAUGAAGUCAAUGUAAAUGAGUCCGCAGAAGCUUGAUAGCCUAUAGAAGUCCUUGAAAAUCCCGAAUGGCACGAGAAGGUUGAAAACUAGUCAAGAUGCUGAUAUCUUCAAGAAGUUAAAUAUAACCUAAAAAAAUUAUUUGUCACAGAAUAAGGUUGGUUUAAAAAAUUGUAAAGGGGAGGAGAGUGGAGAUUCAAGCCUAGAGAGGAAGGCUGAAUAAGAAGAAAGUAAUUGUGAAGUCAACUGUAAAAUAUUUCCUGGGUCUCACCUGGUAAAUCCACACGGGCUUCCUGAAAGAGGAAGGCUAGAGUUACUUUUGAGUUGCCUUUCAAAUGAUAAGCAGGGUCCUUGAGUAAACAGGAAAUGAAAGACUCGAGAGAGUAGCUGAGGAAGGAUGCAGAAGUGAAAAGGAGAGGGGAGCCAUCAGCACCCCAGAUUUAAUUUGAUGGAGAAUUUUCUCUAUUUGUUUAUGUGUGUGCCCGUCUUUAUUAGACUGUCUGUUUGCCUUUCAAGGGCUGGGACUGUGCCUCAUUCACCUUCAUAUUCUAGUAUAAUGCAAGCUUAGGAAAUUAUUGUCUAAAUACAUACACUCAGACAUAAAUGGAUGAGAGUAAGAAUAAAGGCAUAAGUGGUGGUAUUUAGCAGCAGCCUUGGCUGUGAGCUUAAGACUGUUUUUUGUGACCUGCCAUCUUCCUUUGCGCAACAACACAGCUCAUGAUGAUGUUCCAGAGCAUUUUGCCACCAGAAAAUGAGGCUUGCUUUUGGUCUUUUGAAGGAAGACUGCAGUGAACAGUUAAAUUGACUUUAAAUUUAGCAGCAUUGGGCAAGAAUAGAAAUGUUCUAAUCCUGUCUCCUCCUACGGAAUGUGAAUUGUGGUCAAAGUAAUAUGUUUUUGCCUUCUGUGAUUUCGAUCAAAUUUCAUAGGCCAGACAGGGCGUAGGGAGCCAGGCUGCACAGCCACUCUCCCUGGUAAACAGUGUCACACCUCCCUUGGACAGCCCAGGGUACCAUGUGUGCCCUGGCGUUACAGACACCUCACCAGGGCUUGUCUGUUCUCCCUGCCUUGUUUCUCAGCCCAGUGUUCAUGUGGAGUUUGGCUUCCUCUUCUUAGAACUGGGAAAGGCAACGCUGUGCAGGUGUGAGAGGUACAUACACAUGCGCCCAGAAGAUGCUGCCCCAGAAAAACAUACCCAGGGCCUGUAUUUGACUCAGAGUUUAAGGUCUUACUUUUCAUUAGAAAAUAAGAUCACUAGCUCUAAAAUUUCCACUGGGGAAGACUGGGUUGGCUUAGCAGGGCAGUGCUAUCUGAUGGGCAGCUGUAUUCUAUAAAGUAGAUGAGGGAAGAUGACAGAAUGGCAUGUCUGUGGGCAGAAAGCAGAAGGGAAAUUGGCUUCCCUUCAUAGGCCACUAAGGAAAGGGUUAUCCAGUGGCCUGCUGGAUUUGACACUAUCUGCCUGCCACAUCUGAGCUCAGCAUUUUUGCUUUGACACGCAUGGGUCAUUCUACCCAUUGAGCUUCAGCAAUUCCCUAUUACAGAUGCUUAUUGGCAACAGAAUCUUAAGUCCAAUAAAGGAGCAAAGAGAUUUUACUUUGGAAGGAAAUACUAUGGAUUCUUCAGUCAUUCAGAGGCCUCACCUCCUCCCUUAAUGAGUGCUCCCAAUGUAAAGGUAUAAUGACUGGCUAACUAAAUGCUUUGGGGGUAUAGGAAUGAGGACACACAUCUAGAAAAGUGGAUUUUAGAAGAAGAAAAGACAGUAUAAUGAAAACAAGUUUAAGAAAGAGCAAAAAUAAAAUUUGACUUAUGUAUAUCAAUUGUGAUGAACUGUAAUUAUGCAUUACAUGGAACAAGUCUACACAAUCAGAUAAGAAUUCUUCACUAAUUUCCUCUUUAUUUGUCUAUGUCAUAAUCCACACUAGGGAAGAAACAACCUCUACUUUUUAAAAGUCACAAAUAUUAAGCCUAUAAAAAUAUCAAUAUCUUAUCAAAGUUUAGCUCAAAUUUAUACAGGAAAACAAAGGUUCAUUCCAACCCACCUAGCUUCUUCUGAUGGUUUAUUAAGUAGUAUUUAAGAAAAUUGAGUCUCAUAUUAUCUGGCCAAAAGAUAUUUUUCUUGCCUCUGUAUUAUUAAACAACACUUACUGAGACUAUUCAUCAGAUGUCCAGAUUAAUCUUGACGGUGAAGAAUACAUGAACUCUAUAUGCAAUCUUAAAAAGGAGUAAUAUAAUAUGCUAGUUUUCUCUUUCGUGUCCAUUCCUCAAAACUUGAUUAUUAUUAGGUUAGGCUCAUCCUUUACUAAUUACCUUUAGUUAAGAUUUCUUAGUUUGCAAAAAUUAUUGAAUUUAUAUUGACUUAACUGAAUGAGCAUUUGAAAACUGUCUCUCAUAGUUCAUCAUGAGUACUGAAUUGUUCCUCCUCUUUUUCUUUAAGUUUCUUCUCUUUACUACAUAUUUUUCCCCAACCAGUUAUUUUUGUUGUUGUUAUUUGCUUCUUAAAAAUUCUGUGAGGCUUAUUUUUAGAAUAUUUUAUAAAUCUGGCUAUGUCUAAGAAUGGCAAACUAUGAUAAUUGAUGUACUUAAUAUUUGCUAACACAUGUCUAUUCCACUGUCAAUGAAAAGACUGUGCUUGCUUUGAUCAAGAAUUAGCCAAAAUUUGGAACUCUCAGAAAGCUAUUUAUUUAUUCCAGAACAAAGCAUUUGGUUUGUACUACCAUCAAAAUAUUCUAAGUGGCUAGUUAC
Molecule: long non-coding RNA, 3096 nt
Filed under: Homo sapiens (human)
Lineage: Eukaryota; Metazoa; Chordata; Mammalia; Primates; Hominidae
Description: HSALNT0380749
Source: RNAcentral